GUGGCACCCUAAUGAGCUAGGGCUAGACGCUUCGACCACCACGCCAAGUGAUUCUGAAGAUCUCUAAUUCUGUCAAGGCGAGAGCGCUCCAACACGUGUUCAUCGGCUGUUGCUUUUUAAAGAGAAGGCAAGGAGGAAGUCUUGCUUUUCUUGUACUUUUUUUCCUAGAAGCAGCAUUAAAGAUUUACUCCUUAUGUUGAGGAAGCGGAAAGCCUCUUCACUUUAAAAGUGUUUAUGAUCGGGCCUGGCGCGGUGACUCACCGCGCCCGGCCUGCUACACCUUUUAAAAUUCACAGCAAUGAUAAAUGUAUUAGACUCAUUGCCAGGAUAAAGAUUUAAUCUAUU
This 345-nucleotide long non-coding RNA is filed under the name Homo sapiens (human). RNAcentral's name for it is "HSALNT0311956". Lineage: Eukaryota; Metazoa; Chordata; Mammalia; Primates; Hominidae. The record is from RNAcentral.